RNAcentral lists this non-coding RNA (117 nucleotides) under bovine gut metagenome. Its description in RNAcentral is "Glycine riboswitch". It matches the Rfam family "Glycine riboswitch aptamer", at positions 9 to 86 of the family's 94-position model. From Rfam's summary of the family: This family represents the bacterial glycine riboswitch. Glycine riboswitches usually consist of two metabolite-binding aptamers domains with similar structures in tandem. The record is from RNAcentral.
GAACUCUGGAGAAUCUCUUAAAUGAGUGCCGAAGGUGCAAGGCCGCCAUGAUCGCCCGGGUCACGCGUCCGUGACGAGGGCAGGCAGCCGAAUCUCUCAGGCAAACGGACAGAGACG